This 253-nucleotide ribosomal RNA is filed under the name uncultured prokaryote. RNAcentral's name for it is "partial 16S ribosomal RNA". It matches the Rfam family "Bacterial small subunit ribosomal RNA", at positions 525 to 777 of the family's 1533-position model. The record is from RNAcentral.
ACGGAGGGUGCAAGUGUUAAUCGGAUUUAUUGGGCGUAAAGGGCGCGUAGGCUGACGAAUAAGUCAGGUGUGAAAUUCUGGGGCUUAACCCCAGAGCUGCAUUUGAAACUAUUUGUCUAGAGGGUAGGCGGAGAAAACGGAAUUCCACAAGUAGCGGUGAAAUGCGUAGAUAUGUGGAAGAACACCGGUGGCGAAGGCGGUUUUCUAGCUUACUCCUGACGCUGAGGCGCGAAAGUUAGGGGAUCAAACAGGA